Molecule: long non-coding RNA, 1519 nt
Filed under: Capra hircus (goat)
Lineage: Eukaryota; Metazoa; Chordata; Mammalia; Artiodactyla; Bovidae
Description: lncRNA (ENSCHIG00010022033.1)
Source: RNAcentral
CAGCGCGGCGCAGUGGAAAAGGCCUGCUCUGGGCCUCUCUAGCCCUCUGGAGGACUUGCCGUCUGUUUCUGGACGCUUCCGGCGGCAGUAGGCGGGCCUGGCGUGAAGAGCCGCGCCGAGGGGGCUGCUCAGUCAGGGCGGAUUUAGCUCCGGUGUUUUGGCAAUGGGGCUGCAGGAGUUGUGCAGACUCAUGUCGAGGUUUAAUUCAUAUAAAAGGACUAAUAUCAUACUGCAGCAUUUGAAGUGGGAACAAGAUCCGGAAACUUUCCUGAUCAUCAUAAAGGGAGCUGGUGAAAAGGCUUUCUGUGCUGGAGGUGAUAUCAGAGCACUCUCAGAAGCUAGAAAUACAAACCAGAAAAUGCUUCAAGAUUUAUUCCGAGAGGAAUAUAUUCUGAACAACGCCAUUGAUUCUUGCCAGAAACCAUAUAUUGCACUUAUUCAUGGAAUUACAAUGGGUGGGGGAGUCGGUGUCUCAGUUCAUGGGCAAUUCCGAGUGGCUACCGAAAAGUCUGUUUUUGCGAUGCCAGAAACAGCAAUAGGGCUAUUCCCUGAUGUGGGUGGAGGUUAUUUCUUGCCAAGACUUCAAGGAAAACUUGGGUACUUCCUUGCAUUAACAGGAUUCAGACUGAAAGGAAGAGAUGUGUACACAGCAGGAAUUGCUACACACUUUGUAGAUUUUGAAAAGUUGGGCAUGUUAGAAGAAGAUUUGUUAGCCCUGAAAUCUCCUUCAAAAGAAAAUGUUGCAGAUGUCUUAGAAGCUUACCAUGCAAAGUCAAAGAUUGAUCAAGACAAGCCUUUUAUACUUGAGGAACACAUGGACAAAAUAAACAGUUGGUUCUCAGCUAAUACUGUGGAACAGAUUGUUGACAAUUUACAGCAAGACGGUUCAUCUUUUGCCCUGGAUCAGCUGAAGGUAAUUAAUAAAAUGUCUCCAACUUCACUAAAGAUCACGCUAAGGCAACUCCUGGAGGGGUCUUCAAAGACCUUGCCAGAAAAAGGCCAUGACUUUCAUGAAGGCGUUAGGGCAGUUUUAAUAGAUAAAGACCAGAGUCCAAGGUGGAAACCAGCUGACCUAAAAGAAGUUACUGAUGAAGAUUUGAAUGAUUACUUCAAAUCUCUGGGAAGUAAUGAUUUGAAAUUUUGAAAUGAUUGGAUUUUUAAAAUAUUAUUUUGGAGCAGAGGUUGCCAAACUAUGGCACAUGGGCCAAAGCCAACCUGCUGCCUGUUUUUUUAUAUAUUGCUCAGCUAAGAAUGGUUUUUGCAUUUUUAAAUUUGGGAGAAAAGAAAUCAAAGACCAAUAUUGCCAUGGCAUAUAAAAAUUACAUGAAAUUCAAAUGAUUGUCUAUAAAUGAAACUUUAUUGGAACAUGGUUUUACUCAUCUGUUUACAUAUCUAUGGCUGCUUUGAGUAGUUGCAGUAGAGAUUGUAAGGCCUGCAAAGCCUAAAAUAUUUACUUAUCUCAUCCUUUUCACUGGAGGUUGGGGCUGGUGCACUGGGACGAACCAGAGGGAUGGUACGG